GAUGAAGAACGUAGCGAAAUGCGAUACGUAAUGUGAAUUGCAGAAUUCAGUGAAUCAUCGAAUCUUUGAACGCAUAUUGCGCUCUCUGGUAUUCCGGAGAGCAUGCUUGUUUGAGUAUCAGUAAACACCUCAACUCCCUUUCUUUUUUGAAAUUGGAGCUGGACUUGAGUGAUCCCAACGCUUUCUUCCAAGAAAGUGGCGGGUUGCUUGAAAUGCAGGUGCAGCUGAACUUUUCUCUGAGCUAUAAGCAUAUCUAUUUAGUCUGCCUAAAAAACAGAUUAUUACCUUUGCUGCAGCUAACAUAAAGGAGACUAGUUCUUGUGCUGACUGAUGCAGGAUUCACAGAGACAGCUUCGGCUGACUUUGUAAACUCGAUCUCAAAUCAAGUAAGACUACCCGCUGAACUUAAGCAUAUCAAUAAGCGGAGGA
Molecule: unclassified non-coding RNA, 429 nt
Filed under: soil metagenome
Description: partial contains 5.8S ribosomal RNA, internal transcribed spacer 2, and large subunit ribosomal RNA
Rfam family: 5.8S ribosomal RNA (bases 1-120)
Source: RNAcentral